RNAcentral lists this long non-coding RNA (1444 nucleotides) under Cicer arietinum (chickpea). RNAcentral describes it as "long non-coding RNA (CARI_LNC002128)". The record is from RNAcentral. Lineage: Eukaryota; Viridiplantae; Streptophyta; Magnoliopsida; Fabales; Fabaceae.
GCUCUAAAAGAAUCAUACACCACAUUGACCUCCUGGCCCACCAAAGAGAAAUGCUUGCUGAAACACACUCCCUUGGUCCCCAUUGUACAACAAAUCAUAGCAAUUGGAGUUGGUGUCAACAUUUUUGGUCACGAAUUCAGGUUCAACACUAAUUGAAUUGUAAUUUGAGUCAAAUAAUUCAAGAUUUGACAUGUAAGCUGAGCUACCAAAAUGAGUUUGUGGCAACAUUCCACUACCCAUUGGAGGACUAUUCAUAUUAUUAGGAGGAGUAAAAGUUUCACCACCAAAUCUAACCAAAGAAGCACCUUGGUUCAAAUGAGUUAAUAUUUCCUUUGGCCAAUAUCCAAUGUUUAGAUACCCUGAUUUAUUAUCAUGUGCACUUAACCACCAAUGCCCAGUAUUUUGAUCCUACAUAUAUAUUAAAAAUGAAUAAAUUGUCACCUUAUGUGAAGUAAUAUUAGCAUAUUUAAACAAUCAAACUAAUUAAGGAAAGUAACAAAAAUUGUCACCUUAGUUAUAAUAAAAUUACCUGUUUGACAAGAAAAGGAGAAAAGAAUUGUUGGGAUCGUGAUCCAAUUACAGAUGUUGGCGAGAUGGCUGCUCCAAGGAAAACAUUUGGAUCGACUUGCACAAAACCUGAGCAAUGUGCAUUAUAAUUUAUGCAACCUGUCUUUUGAAAAUUAUCCACCUGAAUAUAUACAUUAAUUAAAUAUAUUUAAUUAGACUAAACCACUCACAUUAACUUAAUUAUUAAUUUCAAAAUGUAAUACAUUAAUAAUUAAUUUUGGUUCCUUACUGUCCAGAAGCCAGUAAUUCUUGUUUGCGUGUCUCCAUAGUAGCCUGGAUCAACCUAUUCCAUUAUCCAACUUAUACGUUAUACUAUAUAUCAAAACCAACAAAAAUAAAUUUAACCAUAUCAAAGGAAAUUAAUAAUAAUAAUAAUAAUAAUAAUAAUAAUAAUAAUAAUAAUAAUAAUAAUAAUAAUAAUAAUAAUAAUAAUAAAGGUGUACGAAAGUAACUAAAGACUCCAAUUUACUUUAGACAAUACUAUAUAUAAUAAGCAGAAUUUCUUUUUCAAACCCCUACAUAUAUUUUGAAACUACACAUUCAAAAAAAUACAUUUUUUUUUUAUUAAUCCUCCUAAAAUCAAAUUCAGACAAAACACAAUUUUUGGACAUGUAGAAGAAUAUAAUUUCGAAACAUAAUUAUAAAAUUUUAGAAACAUAGGAUAAAAGUAGCUCUAAAAGAAUCAUACACCACAUUGACCUCCUGGCCCACCAAAGAGAAAUGCUUGCUGAAACACACUCCCUUGGUCCCCAUUGUACAACAAAUCAUAGCAAUUGGAGUUGGUGUCAACAUUUUUGGUCACGAAUUCAGGUUCAACACUAAUUGAAUUGUAAUUUGAGUCAAAUAAUUCAAGAUUUGACAUGUAAGCUGAGCUACC